AAAGACUUUUUAAAUUUUAGUUUAAAAGCUGUUUGACCAGUGGUAGGAUGGUCCCCCUUAAAUGUGAGUCUUGGUUCUCCCAAGGUUUCUUCCUCCUCCUGCAGCUCUGAGGGAGUUUUUCCUUGCCUCCGCGCUCACUGGGGGUUCUGUAUUCUGUAUUUUCUAUGUGUAAUGUUUUGCCUGAUUCUUUGUCCUGUAAUCAUGUUUCUGUAAAGCUGCUUUGUGCCAACACCUGUUGUAAAAAGCGCUAUACAAAUAAAUUUGAUUUGAUUUGA
Astyanax mexicanus (Mexican tetra) is the source of this 275-nucleotide long non-coding RNA. RefSeq lists it as uncharacterized. The transcript has 2 exons. The record is from RefSeq and is a predicted model, not a curated record. Lineage: Eukaryota; Metazoa; Chordata; Actinopteri; Characiformes; Acestrorhamphidae.